Molecule: long non-coding RNA, 392 nt
Organism: Eptesicus fuscus (big brown bat)
Lineage: Eukaryota; Metazoa; Chordata; Mammalia; Chiroptera; Vespertilionidae
Exons: 3
Source: RefSeq, a predicted model, not a curated record
CUGAGUCAGAUCAGGAACUAUGGCACAUGAAUUUCUGCAGUGAUUCAUUAAGUACUUGGGGAGAAUGGUGUUUCUGUCUGUUUUGGAAACCGGUGAACAGUCAUGGUUUUGUGCCCGGCUGAUGUGGUGAGGCAGAGAUCCAAGCACAUGGAUGUAGGUGCUGGGCACAGAGAGGAGCAUGAAGAAGGAAGCCCUGCGGACUUCACAGCACCCACCUUUUGGAAGCAGAGCACAUUUCAUAGCUCCUGUUGAAAGAAGCCAUCACUAUUGAAACAUAGACAUGGAUGAGACAAUCAAAUUAAGAGGGGAAAAAUUCCACUGAUUUCAGCCAAGACAUGUGUGUGCAUGGGAAAGACACCUGGAGGAAAUAUAUAAGGAGAUAAAGUGGUGCC